This is a long non-coding RNA of Melospiza melodia melodia, 291 nucleotides long. RefSeq lists it as uncharacterized. Lineage: Eukaryota; Metazoa; Chordata; Aves; Passeriformes; Passerellidae. The transcript is spliced from 3 exons. The record is from RefSeq and is a predicted model, not a curated record.
CGUGUCUCAGGCUGUAGCAGUGGGCAGGAAGAUGGUAUUGCAGCUGUGUCCACCACGUCAUCUGGAUGGGACAUUGAACCUUUCCAGGAAGCCCUGCUGAGUGGGCCCUCAUUCUUCAAGGUUUCUUGUGAGCUGUCAAACAUCAGUUCUACAGGCAUCAGAGGAAACUGGAGUGUAUUUUACUCACCGCCCAGAUCUUCUCCAGUUGUUCAUGAGUACCAGAAGUUGCUGCAAAUAUUGGCUGACCCUGGAUCAUUUCCACAAAUAUACAGCCUGCACUCCUGCAAGAAA